Molecule: ribosomal RNA, 265 nt
Filed under: uncultured bacterium
Lineage: Bacteria
Description: partial 16S ribosomal RNA
Rfam family: Bacterial small subunit ribosomal RNA
Source: RNAcentral
GCGCCCCUACGGGGGGCAGCAGUAGGGAAUCUUCCACAAUGGACGAAAGUCUGAUGGAGCAACACCGCGUGAGUGAAGAAGGGUUUCGGCUCGUAAAGCUCUGUUGGUAGUGAAGAAAGAUAGAGGUAGUAACUGGCCUUUAUUUUACGGUAAUUACUUAGAAAGUCACGGCUAACUACGUACCAGCAGCCGCGGUAAUACGUAGGUGGCAAGCGUUGUCCGGAUUUAUUGGGCGUAAAGCGAGUGCAGGCGGUUCAAUAAGUCU